CUCCCCUUGAAAAGGAUGGAAGAGGUCCUAGUGGCCUAUACAACACGCAUAUGGUUAAGGCAUUGCCACUUACUUCGUGGCGUCUUUCUUUCUCGCUUU
Molecule: non-coding RNA, 99 nt
Filed under: Alligator mississippiensis (American alligator)
Lineage: Eukaryota; Metazoa; Chordata; Crocodylia; Alligatoridae
Source: RNAcentral